RNAcentral lists this ribosomal RNA (497 nucleotides) under uncultured bacterium. RNAcentral describes it as "partial 16S ribosomal RNA". It matches the Rfam family "Bacterial small subunit ribosomal RNA", at positions 28 to 507 of the family's 1533-position model. The record is from RNAcentral.
GAUGAACGCUGGCGGCGUGCCUAAUACAUGCAAGUCGAGCGAACAGAUGAGGAGCUUGCUCCUCUGACGUUAGCGGCGGACGGGUGAGUAACACGUGGAUAACCUACCUAUAAGACUGGGAUAACUUCGGGAAACCGGAGCUAAUACCGGAUAAUAUAUUGAACCGCAUGGUUCAAUAGUGAAAGACGGUUUUGCUGUCACUUAUAGAUGGAUCCGCGCCGCAUUAGCUAGUUGGUAAGGUAACGGCUUACCAAGGCGACGAUGCGUAGCCGACCUGAGAGGGUGAUCGGCCACACUGGAACUGAGACACGGUCCAGACUCCUACGGGAGGCAGCAGUAGGGAAUCUUCCGCAAUGGGCGAAAGCCUGACGGAGCAACGCCGCGUGAGUGAUGAAGGUCUUCGGAUCGUAAAACUCUGUUAUUAGAGAAGAACAAAUGUGUAAGUAACUAUGCACGUCUUGACGGUACCUAAUCAGAAAGCCACGGCUAACUACGUG